UUUUAGCCCUGAUGCUUGAAUUGUUUUCACAAUUCCCUUUUAUGGUAUCGUUUUUUCUAAUGAGACCACAAAAGAUAUAGUGGACAGCAGGAUUAGCU
This 98-nucleotide small RNA is filed under the name Flavobacterium aquicola. Its description in RNAcentral is "Flavo-1 RNA". The record is from RNAcentral. Lineage: Bacteria; Pseudomonadati; Bacteroidota; Flavobacteriia; Flavobacteriales; Flavobacteriaceae.